CUACGGUGAAUACGUUCCCGGACCUUGCACACACCGCCCGUCAAGCCACGGAAGCUGGGUGUACCUAAAGUCGGUAACCGUAAGGAGCCGCCUAGGGUAAAACUAGUGACUGGGGCU
RNAcentral lists this ribosomal RNA (117 nucleotides) under uncultured bacterium. Its description in RNAcentral is "partial 16S ribosomal RNA". It matches the Rfam family "Bacterial small subunit ribosomal RNA", at positions 1357 to 1482 of the family's 1533-position model. The record is from RNAcentral.